This 508-nucleotide ribosomal RNA is filed under the name uncultured Pseudomonas sp. Its description in RNAcentral is "bacterial SSU rRNA". It matches the Rfam family "Bacterial small subunit ribosomal RNA", at positions 74 to 577 of the family's 1533-position model. Lineage: Bacteria; Pseudomonadati; Pseudomonadota; Gammaproteobacteria; Pseudomonadales; Pseudomonadaceae. The record is from RNAcentral.
GGGUACUUGUACCUGGUGGCGAGCGGCGGACGGGUGAGUAAUGCCUAGGAAUCUGCCUGGUAGUGGGGGAUAACGCUCGGAAACGGACGCUAAUACCGCAUACGUCCUACGGGAGAAAGCAGGGGACCUUCGGGCCUUGCGCUAUCAGAUGAGCCUAGGUCGGAUUAGCUAGUUGGUGAGGUAAUGGCUCACCAAGGCGACGAUCCGUAACUGGUCUGAGAGGAUGAUCAGUCACACUGGAACUGAGACACGGUCCAGACUCCUACGGGAGGCAGCAGUGGGGAAUAUUGGACAAUGGGCGAAAGCCUGAUCCAGCCAUGCCGCGUGUGUGAAGAAGGUCUUCGGAUUGUAAAGCACUUUAAGUUGGGAGGAAGGGCAGUUACCUAAUACGUGAUUGUUUUGACGUUACCGACAGAAUAAGCACCGGCUAACUCUGUGCCAGCAGCCGCGGUAAUAUAGAGGGUGCAAGCGUUAAUCGGAAUUACUGGGCGUAAAGCGCGCGUAGGUG